RNAcentral lists this small nucleolar RNA (139 nucleotides) under Phascolarctos cinereus (koala). RNAcentral's name for it is "Small nucleolar RNA SNORA79 (ENSPCIG00000015678.2)". Lineage: Eukaryota; Metazoa; Chordata; Mammalia; Diprotodontia; Phascolarctidae. The record is from RNAcentral.
UGAACUUACAGGUCCCAAAAGCUUUAUCAAGAAAUCCUUAACUAUCACAGAUCAAAUCUGGUCUUUCUUCACUCAGGGCACCCGUUGGAUGGAUUGACCAUCUAUCAGUGCUUUCUGAAUUUUGCGGGGCCAGAUUUUU